CACGACUCUCUCCACCAGCUUGAAUGGCUGCUCUAUCCUGGGCCGUGUCAGGGGCGUGAAGUGCACCACGCCCACGUCCACCUGCGUCGUGAGCAAAGGGGUUAUCGUGUUCUCCUGGGAGGCCUUGCUUCUAAACAUCCUUGUGGCUACAAAACUCCACAAAAUUGGCCUGCAGUCUGUGAGGAUGGAGUGUUUUCAGGGUGGAGGGGAAG
Herpailurus yagouaroundi (jaguarundi) is the source of this 212-nucleotide long non-coding RNA. RefSeq lists it as uncharacterized. The transcript has 2 exons. The record is from RefSeq and is a predicted model, not a curated record. NCBI's taxonomy places the organism in Eukaryota, Metazoa, Chordata, Mammalia, Carnivora, Felidae.